GAUGAACGCUGGCGGCGUGCUUAACACAUGCAAGUCGAACGGGAAACCUUUUAUUGAAGCUUCGGCAGAUUUAGCUGGUUUCUAGUGGCGGACGGGUGAGUAACGCGUGGGUAACCUGCCUUAUACAGGGGGAUAACAGUCAGAAAUGGCUGCUAAUACCGCAUAAGCGCACAGAGCUGCAUGGCUCAGUGUGAAAAACUCCGGUGGUAUAAGAUGGACCCGCGUUGGAUUAGCUGGUUGGUGGGGUAACGGCCCACCAAGGCGACGAUCCAUAGCCGGCCUGAGAGGGUGAACGGCCACAUUGGGACUGAGACACGGCCCAGACUCCUACGGGAGUCAGCAGUGGGGAAUAUUGCACAAUGGGGGAAACCCUGAUGCAGCGACGCCGCGUGAAGGAAGAAGUAUCUCGGUAUGUAAACUUCUAUCAGCAGGGAAGAUAAUGACGGUACCUGACUAAGAAGCCCCGGCUAACUACGUG
RNAcentral lists this ribosomal RNA (478 nucleotides) under uncultured bacterium. RNAcentral describes it as "partial 16S ribosomal RNA". It matches the Rfam family "Bacterial small subunit ribosomal RNA", at positions 28 to 507 of the family's 1533-position model. The record is from RNAcentral.